Molecule: ribosomal RNA, 281 nt
Filed under: uncultured bacterium
Lineage: Bacteria
Description: partial 16S ribosomal RNA
Rfam family: Bacterial small subunit ribosomal RNA
Source: RNAcentral
GACGAACGCUGGCGGCGUGCUUAACACAUGCAAGUCGAACGAGACCCCGUCUUCGGGUGGGUGUUCUAGUGGCGAACGGGUGAGUAACACGUGGGCAACCUGCCCCCGGCUCUGGGAUAACUCCAAGAAAUUGGGGCGUAAUAACCGGAUAUUUCCGCUGACCGCAUGGUCUGGUGGUGGAAAGGGUUUCCGGCNGGGGAUGGGCCCGCGGCCUAUCAGCUUGUUGGUGGGGUAGUGCCUACCAAGGCGACGACGGGUAGCCGGCCUGAGAGGGUGACCGG